AAAUUGAAGAGUUUGAUCAUGGCUCAGAUUGAACGCUGGCGGCAGGCCUAACACAUGCAAGUCGAGCGGUAGCACAGAGCUUGCUCUCGGGUGACGAGCGGCGGACGGGUGAGUAAUGUCUGGGAAACUGCCUGAUGGAGGGGGAUAACUACUGGAAACGGUAGCUAAUACCGCAUAAUGUCGCAAGACCAAAGUGGGGGACCUUCGGGCCUCAUGCCAUCAGAUGUGCCCAGAUGGGAUUAGCUUGUAGGUGGGGUAACGGCUCACCUAGGCGACGAUCCCUAGCUGGUCUGAGAGGAUGACCAGCCACACUGGAACUGAGACACGGUCCAGACUCCUACGGGAGGCAGCAGUGGGGAAUAUUGCACAAUGGGCGCAAGCCUGAUGCAGCCAUGCCGCGUGUGUGAAGAAGGCCUUCGGGUUGUAAAGCACUUUCAGCGGGGAGGAAGGCGGUGAGGUUAAUAACCUCAUCGAUUGACGUUACCCGCAGAAGAAGCACCGGCUAACUCCGUGCCAGCAGCCGCGGUAAUACGGAGGGUGCAAGCGUUAAUCGGAAUUACUGGGCGUAAAGCGCACGCAGGCGGUCUGUCAAGUCGGAUGUGAAAUCCCCGGGCUCAACCUGGGAACUGCAUUCGAAACUGGCAGGCUAGAGUCUUGUAGAGGGGGGUAGAAUUCCAGGUGUAGCGGUGAAAUGCGUAGAGAUCUGGAGGAAUACCGGUGGCGAAGGCGGCCCCCUGGACAAAGACUGACGCUCAGGUGCGAAAGCGUGGGGAGCAAACAGGAUUAGAUACCCUGGUAGUCCACGCCGUAAACGAUGUCGAUUUGGAGGUUGUGCCCUUGAGGCGUGGCUUCCGGAGCUAACGCGUUAAAUCGACCGCCUGGGGAGUACGGCCGCAAGGUUAAAACUCAAAUGAAUUGACGGGGGCCCGCACAAGCGGUGGAGCAUGUGGUUUAAUUCGAUGCAACGCGAAGAACCUUACCUGGUCUUGACAUCCACAGAACUUAGCAGAGAUGCUUUGGUGCCUUCGGGAACUGUGAGACAGGUGCUGCAUGGCUGUCGUCAGCUCGUGUUGUGAAAUGUUGGGUUAAGUCCCGCAACGAGCGCAACCCUUAUCCUUUGUUGCCAGCGGUCCGGCCGGGAACUCAAAGGAGACUGCCAGUGAUAAACUGGAGGAAGGUGGGGAUGACGUCAAGUCAUCAUGGCCCUUACGACCAGGGCUACACACGUGCUACAAUGGCAUAUACAAAGAGAAGCGACCUCGCGAGAGCAAGCGGACCUCAUAAAGUAUGUCGUAGUCCGGAUUGGAGUCUGCAACUCGACUCCAUGAAGUCGGAAUCGCUAGUAAUCGUAGAUCAGAAUGCUACGGUGAAUACGUUCCCGGGCCUUGUACACACCGCCCGUCACACCAUGGGAGUGGGUUGCAAAAGAAGUAGGUAGCUUAACCUUCGGGAGGGCGCUUACCACUUUGUGAUUCAUGACUGGGGUGAAGUCGUAACAAGGUAACCGUAGGGGAACCUGCGGUUGGAUCACCUCCUUACCUUAAAGAA
This 1548-nucleotide ribosomal RNA is filed under the name Klebsiella pneumoniae. RNAcentral's name for it is "bacterial SSU rRNA". It matches the Rfam family "Bacterial small subunit ribosomal RNA". Lineage: Bacteria; Pseudomonadati; Pseudomonadota; Gammaproteobacteria; Enterobacterales; Enterobacteriaceae. The record is from RNAcentral.